Molecule: long non-coding RNA, 6488 nt
Filed under: Gallus gallus (chicken)
Lineage: Eukaryota; Metazoa; Chordata; Aves; Galliformes; Phasianidae
Source: RNAcentral
GGGAAGGGCAAUGCCUCCGCAAACAAGUCAGGAGUUCACACCCCGCGCCACGAUGGGUGCGAGGCGGCGGGAGGCAGCCGGGUCCCGAGGGCAGCCCGGAGCCGCUUCCGCCCGCACCGCGUCGCUCCCGGCACGGGUUGAGUGCCGCGCGUCCGCCGGCAGCGCCGAAGCCCGCAGGGAGCUCGGCCGAGGGCCGCGGGUCGGGCUCCGGGCGAGGCCUGCGCGCUACAGCGGGCGGGAGGAGGCCCGGCCCGGGCCCUCUACACAACACCGGCAGCCGCGUCUCCGCGCGACGGCGGAGCCUCGCCUGGGAGACCCUCGCGGAAACGGCCCCUAUGGAAAGAGCCUCAGUUUCCAGCGGGGCCUCCCGAGGAAGCCCUCGCAUCCCGGGGCCCCGCUCCGGAGGCCGCAAGGCCGCGCUCCGACCUAAGAUGGCGUCGGCCUCACAGGCGACAAUCCCCCCGCGGCCUGCCCGCCCGCCGCGCAGCGAGGCUCCCCGCGGCCCGAAGGCGGCGGGCCGGGAGGGCCGAGAGCGGCGGGCGGACCGGCUUACCGUGCUCCGCGUCCGGAGGAGCCGCGGCGCGCCGCCCCGCUCCUCGCUGCCGGGCCGGCGGGGGGGAUGGGAGCAGCCGCGCUGGCGAAGCCGCCUCCCAUCGCCGAACAGCGGCGCCCCACCUCAGCCGCCGCCGGGGAAAGGAGGGCGGGCGCGCGGGGAAGGGGUGGGUGGCCGCGCGGCGCCUGACGGGUAGCGCGGGGCAGCCCCACAGCGGCGCCUGUUCUCCCGCCGCCGCGGGGCGGGGCCGGGCCGGGGCCGCGCGGGGCGGGGCCGGGCGCCAUGUGCCGUGUGCCAUGUGCCGGGCCUCACACCCGGCCGCGCGCCUCGCGCCCCUUCUGCCUCGCUGGGCGGGCCCGGCCUCAGACGCGGGAAUCAGACAUCUGAGGUGAAGCUGUACUCACGGUCAGCGUGAAACACAACCGCGUAGAACGUGGAGGUGGUGGAGCUGCACUCCGAACGCAGUUAAGAGAGCAGGUUUGUGGUGUGCCCGUUUUUCCACUGGUUUUUCACAGCAGUUCACUCAGGGGUUGCAUAACAGAACCGGAUGCUAAAGCAGGCCGUUGCAGAGCCUCCCAGGGCACAGCGCUGCCCGCGCUUCCAAUGGAACAUCACCAACCGGCGGGACGAGCCCUGAACGGGGCAGCGGGCGGGCAGAGCCCUGCCUGGGAGCACAGCCCCAUAGGAGCCGCUCGUUUUCACUCAUUUAUUCACUGAUGUGAAGAUCACUGAACCACAAGGUGACCAAGAAGUUCAUUUUUUCUCCUAUCUUUUAGCCUCUAGUGCUCCCACACCCUCAAAUAUUAGUUACAGUAACCUCGGUGUCUCUGAGAGCAUUCCAGCUUAGAUUCUUUUUUUUUUCCUCACAACUUUGCUGCCUCUUCUACCAUAAUUUAAAAAGCAGAAGUGCAAUUCUUCUAGCAAAAUACGGAAUUAUUUCUGGUGAAUUUUAAAGGUAAAUAAUGGGAAAGGUCUUAACUAAAUGUAUUCUUUAUUACUCAACUUCAUCUGCCCAUGCUUCUCUCGCCUUACAGUUAGUGACAUCUGUCACAGCUGCCUUUGGACUUGCCCAAUUUAUUUAGCAUAAAUUCUCUCUCAAAUAUAGGUAUUUCUCAGAAGAAUAGAUGAAGUAUCCUUAUUUUUGUAAGCUGAAGCUCUAAAUUGCUGUGUUUAGCCUGGAAAAUGUUCUGCUCAUCUGAAGCAUCAUCUUUAGCCUUGAGUUGUUUCCAAGGUUCGUCAGAGAGGUGAAGAAAAACAUACACAAUGUCUAGUAAUUAAGUAACUGCUAGUUAGUAUUUACGCCUUUAAAUCAUUUAGUUUAGUAACUAAAAAAUAUACCAUCCUGCCAAAGUAGGAUACAAAAAAUAAAGACUCGUGAUACUUGGCAGGAAAUUGAGAAAAAGAAUGGGUACUAGAGAUGGGAACUUCAUUUAGGCAGAAGUGAUGGAGAAGAAAUAGCAAUAAUCCGGUUGUUUAAAACACAUGUUUAACAACACAUGUACCUACUGAGAAACCAUAGUGGGUUUAUGCUCCAUCUAAAUCAAAAUAAAUACAAAGAGAAUAUUAAGAUUGCAAGGUGAAACAACAGAAUUAAGAACAACUUUACAUGUUUUAUUUGUUAACCUUAUGAAUUCUAACCUUAUGAAUUAGGUACACAACUGUAUACAGUCUGGUCUGCAAGACCAUUACCUGAGUCCUUGAGCAAAUGUAUUUGAAUAUCACAUUUUUGCACCAUUCUGCAAAGCUAUAGGAGCAAAACAAGUUUACCAAAUGGGAUUAAUAAUCAUUCACAACUUUGCAACUCACAAAUGAAUGAAAGCUAGUAAAUAAACCCUAUAAUUACAAAGGAUUUCUUUCCAAGAGGCCCUUAGUUGAUAGAUGAGCAUCUUGGACAAGCUUAAUAGGUAGGUAAUUAGAAAUGAUGGAUGCAAUUACCAACUUUAUUCCACGUAUCAAGCAGCACUUGUUCAUAUUGCUCUUAUUUCACUUGUCACGUUCAGGCAUUUCAGAGCAAGAGGUGUCAGCUAACUAUGAGGAUUUUGCAAGUGGGAUAUGGGAAGGAGGGUAGAGCAGGCAGCAAAUUGAAGCCCGAAGCAUGCCUUAUCGAGGGGUAAUUAAUGAAUAGAUUGUUAGCUGAUAACUUGCAGGAUGGAACUGGGGGAAAGUUUUGGCAGGAAGAAUAUGAAUGAAGACAUUUUCUUGUACAUUAUGGUUUUAAGGGGAACAAUAUAGACAGUAGUUAGAGGAUUGUCACUGAGAAGUGUAAGUCUUUUUCUGGUAUGCAUUUCUCAAUAAGGUGGCAGUUGCAUUCAACUGCUUCAACUCAACAAAAAAAAAAAUGGAGGCUGGAAAAGAACUAGCACAGUAAAUGACUGUCAUUUAUUUUUGUAGACAGAAGGCCUGGUAUAACAGUUUUCAAGAUGGUAAUCCAUUUUUCUUUUAUGGAAAAAAAGCUUGGGGUUAGGAAAAAAAACCUCACACUGUUUCAAUUGUCAUGUCUUUAGACAGUGCAUCAAUGCAUGCAAAAGCUUGAUGAUUACUUCUCACCCUGGCACCAUGCUAUUUAGCUUGUUGAUCCUUUUACAUUUUUAACCACAGCCAUCUCAUCCAUACGUAGCUAAAAGGCAAAUAGGCUCCAUCAGGGUUUUAGGAAACACAGAUAGUUUGAUUGAACUGCUUUGUAUUCCCAUAUCAAGGCUGAAGAGCUAGAUACUGGGAAAUCAGUUGAUACUCCAGAAACCUUGCUAUGCCAGAAUAGCAGAAUUUGUUCUCAAGGCAUAUGAACGAACUUACUUCUUAUCAUGAAAUCCUAGCCAAGCUAGUGUUUCAUUCUAGAUUUAGUGCUGCUGAACAACUGAUAAAAAUAUACCUAAUAAUGUUUUUUUAAACCCUUCUGAGUAGCACUCUGUUUGUGUCAGAUCACUGAAUGCAACCUGGGAAUCGAGGUGCAAUUGCUAGUUCUAAUUUUGUAUGUCAGCAAAGAAUAUAUAGCUAAGUGAGGAAAUCUCACUCAUUAGCAUUGUAGUUACAGGUUUGUUUAGUAUUAUUUGUUAUUCUUAGAGGCACUACACACAUACAGCAAGUACCAAUCUGUGUGACAUUGCCGUUGGAGCUGCUGCCAAAAUUUUAUUAGAAUGGGUAAGUUCAGAUGAGAAGCCUGUAACUAUGAAUGCACAAACAGGAACAUCUGCAAAAUAAACACUAUUCAACACAUCUAUGGUUUACUCAAGUAUUCCGUAAGGUAUGCUUGUAAAAUUGAUUGCAUUUAGUCUGAUGUGGUUUGUUGUUACAGUAUCAUACCUUAGGAAUUUGGCACCAGUAUAAACACUAAGGGAUGAUCUGUUUCUAACACUGUUUUAUGUUAGGCAUAUACAAUUUGUUUGCAUUUUCCUUGUUGAGAUGAUAUGAAAAGUUUUAACGUGCAGCCCUAAAGAAAAGCGCAAGCUUCCUGUCUUUUAAACAUUAAGGUAUGCCUCUGUAAAUUAAGAAAAAAAAAGGAACUAACCCCAGACAUAGAUUAUUUUUUUAAACACAUUUGGCAUACCAUCAUGCAAGAUAAAAAGGAUAUAUUUAUAAUCAAGGAGAGUUGGUGUCCCUUCAGUGCGCAUGUACUUCUCCUGUCAACAUUACUCAGACUCCUCAGGACAGAACACAUUCAAAGCUGUUUAAAAUUACAAGAAAUGCUUGAAUCAGAUGGGUUCUGUAAGAGUGAAAAUGACUGCAAACAGAGCCGUGGCUACUACAAGUCUAGGUUGUUAUUUUGACAGGUAGGAAAAAUAUUUCUUAAAGAAAAUGUUCGGUUUCCAGAUGUUUUUUUGUGGUAACCUUACAUUAAAACAAAGUUAGUAGAUUAACAUUAAUGACAUAAGCCUUUUGUUCUUUUAUUUUCUCAUUUAAGAAAUUGAUUUUAGAAGUUAAUACUAUGUACACUCGAUUAUCUAUUGCAACUAGUUGUCCUGUUCUCACAUCAGUGACAGAGGGCAUACACCUUGUCUUUUGGACUCAUUUUUAUCAUUUGCCUAAGAACAAACUGAAUCCUAGAUGUUUGUUACUGUCUGUACUCCACACAGUAAAGAAAAUGCAGGUAGAUAACUGUUUGGUUUUGCUUUCUGUCCAUUUCUAUCCAAUUCAGUAAUUCAGUAGUAAAGCACAUUGUUCCAUUGAGUUGGUGACAGACACUUGUAAUACUUGGCAGAAGUCUUCAGUAGUGUGGGAAGUGACUUAAUACUGAUUCAAUGUACGUUCUAGAGACUUCUGUUGAAAAAUGACUCUAUUCAGUAAAGUUUGUAGUCAUAUUUUCUACUCAAGAAAAAAAUAAUGGGGCAGAAAUUCAUGUGAAUGUAUUGAAGUCUUGUGACAGCAAUUGCCAGGUUGUUCUGACAUGAAAUGUGAGAAUGCUACUGCUUGAUCUGUUUUUUUCUCUCUAUAUCACUUGCUCUCACAAUCCUGGUCAGAGAAAAAAAGAGGCAUUGUGCAUGACUCCAACAAGGUAGUUCUGAAACUACUGAUAAUAAUAGUGCUGAAGGGUUUAAAUGAUGCACCUUCUUUGAUAUAAUAAAAUAACUGUGUUGCAUCACAAUGAAUUACUACUGGGAAGAUUUAAAUAAUUGAAGAAUAAACAAAUGAACAUUCCGGCUCCUAAGUUAAAAGUAUUUUCUCAUCACUCGAAAGAAAGGAACUAAUAACACAAAAAUAAAGGAAGGAAAGCUGUUAAACCUAAUUUUCCUGUAGUAUAAUAUUACUCAGAACUUCUGCUGAGAUAUCAGCAACUGUGGGCAAAUCACGAUAAGGAGAAAGUGGCGCCAUUUUAGUCUAUUAAAUUAAUUUAUAUCCUUUACAAUGAACUGUAUUUGCAUGGCAGUUUCUUUUCAUAAAACUGGUACUGGAACUGCUUUCUUGGUGCUGUUACCACAUCUGUAAUAUAUGUUCAUGAAUUAUGAGAAAAUCUGAGCCUGGUUAUUUUUUUUUAACAAAGUUUACUGCUAAACCAAAACCAAAAAAAAGUAUCAGAGUAGCAAAGAAUAAGAGGAUAGAGAUUGUCUUCUUAUCACCCCAGCUCCCAAUUUACUCGUCAGGCUUGAGUCGUUCUUGCACAGUGACCAUUUAUGUGAAACAACAGCAACAGCAACAAAAAAGAUGGCUUAUUCCAAAAUCCUUACUAGUAUGGAUGAGUGGAUCUUCUUGAGCAGUAGAAGGAAAUAGGAAGAGGUCUUCUGUAUCCUACAUGAAAGCAGCUUGUUCUGGACUUUUGGGUGAAGGGGGGCAUUGCUUCCUUCCCUUACUUACAAAACUAGCUGGACAUACAAUAUCCCGAGUUGGAAGGGACCCACAGGGACUGUCAAGUCCAACCCGUCUCCACAGAGGGACCACCCAAAUGCAAACACUCCUUCAGCUGCAGCAGCUCGAGGCCAUGCCCACUGCCAUGCCAUGCCCACCACCCUCUGGUGCAGACCCCUUCCCUAACCACCACCUGCCCCUCCCCUGACACAGCUCCAUACCAUUCCCUCAGGCCCUGUCACUGUCUCCAGAGAGCGCUGCCUUCCACUCCCCGUGAGGAUCUGCAGCUGCCAUAGGCCUCCCUGCAGCCUGCUCUGCACUGAGCAAACCUGAGGACCUCAGCCACUCCUCACACAUCGUGCCCUCAGACACUUCCCUAUUUUUGUAGCCCUCCUUCAGACACUUUUCUUGUGUUGUGGCACCCAAACCUGCACCCAGUGCUGGAGGUGAGGCCAUACAGCACAGAGCAGAGCGGGACAACCCCUUCCCUCACCCAGCUGGCAAUGCUGUGCCUGAUGCACUCCAGGGUACUGUGACUCAUGGACAAUUUGCUGCCAACUAGAAACCCCAGGUCCUUUCCACAGGGCUGCUCUCCAGCCCCUCAAUCCCUGGUCUGUACAUAUAGCCAGGGCUGCCCCAUCCCAGCUGCAGAACCCAG